UAUAGUAAGGCGUUUUUUAGCCGAAAAAAAACGACCAUGUAUAGUAAGGCGUUUUUAGCCGAAAAGAACGACCAUGUAUAUAAGGCGUUUUUGACCGAAAAAAACGACCAUGUAUAGUAAGGCGUUUUUUAGCCGAAAAAAACGACCAUGUAUAGUAA
Long non-coding RNA from Hippocampus zosterae (dwarf seahorse), 158 nucleotides. RefSeq lists it as uncharacterized. The transcript has 2 exons. NCBI's taxonomy places the organism in Eukaryota, Metazoa, Chordata, Actinopteri, Syngnathiformes, Syngnathidae. The record is from RefSeq and is a predicted model, not a curated record.